AGAGUUUGAUCCUGGCUCAGGAUGAACGCUAGCGGCAGGCUUAAUACAUGCAAGUCGAGGGGCAGCACAGGUAGCAAUACUGGGUGGCGACCGGCAAACGGGUGCGGAACACGUACGCAACCUUCCUUUAAGUGGGAGAUAGCCCAGGGAAACUUGGAUUAAUAUCCCGUAAUAUUAUUGAGUGGCAUCACUUGAUAAUUAAAGCUCCGGCGCUUAAAGAUGGGCGUGCGCCUGAUUAGGUAGUUGGCGGAGUAACAGCCCACCAAGCCUACGAUCAGUAACUGGUGUGAGAGCACGACCAGUCACACGGGCACUGAGACACGGGCCCGACUCCUACGGGAGGCAGCAGUAAGGAAUAUUGGUCAAUGGACGCAAGUCUGAACCAGCCAUGCCGCGUGGAGGAUGACGGCCCUCUGGGUUGUAAACUCCUUUUAUCUGGGAAGAAAUGCAUUUUUUCUAAAGUGUUUGACGGUACCAGAGGAAUAAGCACCGGCUAACUCCGUGCCAGCAGCCGCGGUAAUACGGAGGGUGCAAGCGUUAUCCGGAUUCACUGGGUUUAAAGGGUGCGUAGGUGGAAUGGUAAGUCAGUGGUGAAAUCUCCAAGCUUAACUUGGAAACUGCCGUUGAUACUAUCAUUCUUGAAUAUCGUGGAGGUGAGCGGAAUAUGUCAUGUAGCGGUGAAAUGCUUAGAUAUGACAUAGAACACCGAUUGCGAAGGCAGCUCACUACACGAUCAUUGACACUGAGGCACGAAAGCGUGGGGAUCAAACAGGAUUAGAUACCCUGGUAGUCCACGCCCUAAACGAUGGAUACUCGACAUCAGCGAUACACUGUUGGUGUCUGAGCGAAAGCAUUAAGUAUCCCACCUGUGAAGUACGAUCGCAAGAUUGAAACUCAAAGGAAUUGGCGGGGGUCCGCACAAGCGGUGAGCAUGUGGUUUAAUUCGAUGAUACGCGAGGAACCUUACCUGGGCUAGA
RNAcentral lists this ribosomal RNA (977 nucleotides) under uncultured bacterium. RNAcentral describes it as "bacterial SSU rRNA". It matches the Rfam family "Bacterial small subunit ribosomal RNA", at positions 8 to 984 of the family's 1533-position model. The record is from RNAcentral.